GUAUCUCUGUAGAGUCUGCAUAUCAAUAAGCGGAGGAAAAGAAACUAACAAGGAUUCCCUUAGUAACGGCGAGUGAAGCGGGAAGAGCUCAAAUUUGAAAUCUUCAAGGUUCUACCUUGACGAAUUGUAGUUUAUAGAAGUGUUUUCUGUUAGUGGAGUGGCAAAAGUUCUUUGGAAUAGGACAUCAUAGAGGGUGAGAAUCCCGUAUUUGGCCAUUCCUCCUAGCGUUGUGAUACACUUUCAACGAGUCGGAUUGUUUGGGAAUGCAGUCCAAAAUGGGUGGUAAAUUUCAUCUAAAGCUAAAUAUUGGCGAGAGACCGAUAGCGAACAAGUACCGUGAGGGAAAGAUGAAAAGAACUUUGAAAAGAGAGUUAAACAGUACGUGAAAUUGUCAAAAGGGAAGCGUUUGACACCAGUGUUGUUUUUUCCGAAAAUCAAUUACGAAUGUUUUAUUUUUGAGGAGUUAUGACUUCAUCGGCUUGCUCCUUUCUUUAUGAAACUUUCUUAAUGCACUUUUCGGUUAACAAGUCAACAUCAAUUUCCUUUUGUUGUAAAAGGGUAUGAGGAAGGUGGCUUUCUUUUCGGAGAAAGUGUUUAUAGCCUUGUGCCUCUGCAAUCGGAGAGAUUGAGGUCUGCAGCGUAGAUCCUUCGGGGUUAGAUACGUUUGUGCUAAGUUAUAGCUUUUCAUAGACAACUUGUUGACUAUGUUUAGUCUUGUAGCUUACUCGCUGACGCUAUUUUACCUACGCUUAGGAUGUUGACGCAUGAGAUAUACGC
Molecule: ribosomal RNA, 777 nt
Filed under: uncultured Neocallimastigales
Lineage: Eukaryota; Fungi; Neocallimastigomycota; Neocallimastigomycetes; Neocallimastigales
Description: partial large subunit ribosomal RNA
Rfam family: Eukaryotic large subunit ribosomal RNA
Source: RNAcentral